AUCAGAAGAAGAGAAAGAAAGGGGUCAAACCCUAGAACACCAAAAUCUAUCAAAUUGAAAGGGGAAUUGAAGCCUAGUUGAAUGCAUGAACUAAGAAUGGUGAUCAUCUAAGCAUACCCAACAUCAAGAGUCAUGUCAAUAGAGGCACAAAUAUGGAAGCGCUACGGGUCGAAGGUAAACACGGAAGCUAUGUGUAAAUUCGGACGCACGAGUUUAUAAUGUAUGUACGUGGUCUAUUUGUAUGGAAGCUUGUAAUCAGCAUACCUUAGUAAACCUUGGGAUGAUUUAAGUGAUUUAUACGGGUUGUACGUUUGUACGUGGGUACGUAAUCACUUGUGGAAGUUCACGUCUAUGAAUACAUGUGUGUUUGUGCCUGCGUUUGAAGUAGGAUUCAUUGCUUAUGGGCGAACGGAACUUGGGUAUGUAUUCGUACAACUUAAAUAAGUGGAAGCGUUAAGUUACUAAACCGUUGACUUGAGUAUGAAAAGGUGAUUGCAGGUACUCUAUUAAUGUCUUUACCAAGGUUAAGGAAUUGAAGUGCACGAAUGUACAUGGAAAGCAUAUUCGUAAGGAUCAGUAUGGGAAGAAGGAACGCGGACUGGUUAUUGAUCAUGUGUGUUUAGUUUAGGAAUGAUGUCAUUAAAUCUAACCGAUGCACAUGUAUGUGGUGAAUGCAGGUUGCGUGGAUUUAGCAUCAUUAUGAAGGAUAGAAAGAUUGAAGAUCGAGUCAAGAGCAAAGGAUUGUACGGGAAGGAUCGGUCACAUAGUUUAACAAAUGUAGGUCCGAAGUAUUAAUGUAAUUGAACGUGGUAAAUCCUUUUUAAUGAGUGUAUGACAUUUAGUAUUCGAACUUUCCUGUAAGUACUAUGUCUAUUAAAGAACGAA
Helianthus annuus (common sunflower) is the source of this 885-nucleotide long non-coding RNA. RefSeq lists it as uncharacterized. The transcript has 3 exons. NCBI's taxonomy places the organism in Eukaryota, Viridiplantae, Streptophyta, Magnoliopsida, Asterales, Asteraceae. The record is from RefSeq and is a predicted model, not a curated record.